AUCCCGGUGGACGCCGCGAUCCAGGCGGAA
RNAcentral lists this small RNA (30 nucleotides) under Bombyx mori (domestic silkworm). RNAcentral describes it as "ovarian small RNA-12456". The record is from RNAcentral. Lineage: Eukaryota; Metazoa; Arthropoda; Insecta; Lepidoptera; Bombycidae.